Molecule: ribosomal RNA, 532 nt
Filed under: uncultured archaeon
Lineage: Archaea
Description: bacterial SSU rRNA
Rfam family: Archaeal small subunit ribosomal RNA
Source: RNAcentral
GGGGCGCAGCAGGCGCGAAACCUCCGCAAUGUGAGAAAUCGCGACGGGGGGAUCCCAAGUGCCAUUCUUAACGGGAUGGCUUUUCAUUAGUGUAAAGAGCUUUUGGAAUAAGAACUGGGCAAGACCGGUGCCAGCCGCCGCGGUAACACCGGCAGCUCUAGUGGUAACAAUUUUUAUUGGGCCUAAAGCGUCCGUAGCCGGUUUAAUAAGUCUCUGGUGAAAUCCUGUAGCUUAACUGUGGGAAUUGCUGGAGAUACUAUUAGACUUGAGACCGGGAGAGGUUAGAGGUACUCCCAGGGUAGAGGUGAAAUUCUGUAAUCCUGGGAGGACCGCCUGUUGCGAAGGCGUCUAACUGGAACGGUUCUGACGGUGAGGGACGAAAGUUAGGGGCGCGAACCGGAUUAGAUACCCGGGUAGUCCUAACUGUAAACGAUGCGGACUUGGUGUUGGGGUGGCUUUGAGCUGUCCCAGUGCCGAAGGGAAGCUGUUAAGUCCGCCGCCUGGGAAGUACGGUCGCAAGACUGAAACUUAA